AGAAGGAACUAAGAUGGUGAGGCCAAGGCAGGGGUGGAUCACCUGAGGUCAGGAGUCCAAGACCAGCCUGGCCAACAUGAGGCUGAUAGUAUGCCUGGAGGAGUCCCUGUACAUUCACAACAUUCGGGACAUGAAGGUGCUGCAUACGAUCAGGGAGACGCCUCCAAACCCUGCAGGCCUGUGUGCGCUGUCAAUCAACAACGACAACUGCUACUUGGCGUACCCAGGGAGCGCGACCAUCGGAGAGGUGCAGGUCUUCGAUACCAUUAAUUUGAGAGCUGCAAACAUGAUUCCGGCUCACGACAGUCCUUUAGCGGCAUUGGCCUUUGACGCAAGUGGAACUAAACUUGCCACGGCUUCGGAGAAGGGGACCGUGAUUAGGGUAUUUUCCAUUCCAGAAGGACAAAAACUCUUUGAGUUUCGGAGAGGAGUGAAGAGGUGCGUGAGCAUCUGCUCCCUGGCCUUCAGCA
This 470-nucleotide small RNA is filed under the name Pongo abelii (Sumatran orangutan). RNAcentral describes it as "processed transcript". The record is from RNAcentral. Lineage: Eukaryota; Metazoa; Chordata; Mammalia; Primates; Hominidae.